CCUACGGGAGGCAGCAGUAGGGAAUCUUCCGUAAUGGACGAAAGUCUGAUGGAGCAACGCCGCGUGAGCGAAGAAGGUCUUCGGAUCGUAAAGCUCUGUUGUAAGGGAAGAACAAGUGCAGUAGUAACUGGCUGCACCUUGACGGUACCUUACUAGAAAGCCACGGCUAACUACGUGCCAGCAGCCGCGGUAAUUACUGGGCGUAAAGAGCGUGUAGGCGGU
Molecule: ribosomal RNA, 222 nt
Filed under: uncultured bacterium
Lineage: Bacteria
Description: partial 16S ribosomal RNA
Rfam family: Bacterial small subunit ribosomal RNA
Source: RNAcentral